GAUGCGUAGGGGUUCUGAGAGGAAGGUCCCCCACCCUGGUACUGAGACACGGACCAGACUCCUACGGGAGGCAGCAGUGAGGAAUAUUGGUCAAUGGGCGGGAGCCUGAACCAGCCAAGUCGCGUGAGGGAAGACGGUCCUAUGGAUUGUAAACCUCUUUUGCCGGGGAGCAACGGGGUCCUUGCGAGGGCCUAAUGAGAGUACCCGGAGAAAAAGCAUCGGCUAACUCCGUGCCAGCAGCCGCGGUAAUACGGAGGAUGCGAGCGUUAUCCGGAUUUAUUGGGUUUAAAGGGUGCGUAGGCGGGCUGUUAAGUCAGCGGUCAAAUGUCGGGGCUCAACCCCGGCCUGCCGUUGAAACUGGUGGCCUCGAGUGGGCGAGAAGUAUGCGGAAUGCGUGGUGUAGCGGUGAAAUGCAUAGAUAUCACGCAGAACUCCGAUUGCGAAGGCAGCAUACCGGCGCCCGACUGACGCUGAGGCACGAAAGCGUGGGUAUCGAACAGGAUUAGAUACCCUGGUAGUCCACGCAGUAAACGAUGAAUGCUAGCUGUCCGGGGCUUCGGUCCUGG
Molecule: ribosomal RNA, 566 nt
Filed under: uncultured bacterium
Lineage: Bacteria
Description: bacterial SSU rRNA
Rfam family: Bacterial small subunit ribosomal RNA
Source: RNAcentral